AGCGAACGCUAGCGGCGAGCUUAACACAUGCAAGUCGAGCGGAGGGUUUCGGCCCUCAGCGGCGGACGGGUGAGUAACACGUAGGUUACGUGCCCCUUUGGUGGGGAAUAACUUAGGGAAACCUGAGCUAAUACCGCAUAUGCCCUCGGGUGAAGUACUUCGGACGCCAGAGGAUCGGCCUGCGGCCCAUUAUUUAAUCCUUGUUGGUGGGGUAACGGCCUACCAAGGGUACGAUGGGUAGCUGGUCUGAGAGGAUGAUCAGCCACACUGGGACUGAGACACGGCCCAGACUCCUACGGGAGGCAGCAGUGGGGAAUAUUGGACAAUGGGGGAAACCCUGAUCCAGCUACGCCGCGUGGGGUGAUGAAGGCCUUCGGGUUGUAAGACCCUGUCGAGGGGGACGAAGGUUCUGACGGUACCCCGUCAAGAAA
This 431-nucleotide ribosomal RNA is filed under the name uncultured bacterium. RNAcentral describes it as "bacterial SSU rRNA". It matches the Rfam family "Bacterial small subunit ribosomal RNA", at positions 29 to 490 of the family's 1533-position model. The record is from RNAcentral.